GGAAGGGCCACCCGAUGGGCGACGGGAUCCGGUUGGAAACCGGCGGGCCACUGGCCUUGCGGGUUCGACUCCCGCUCCUUCCG
This 83-nucleotide transfer RNA is filed under the name Planctomycetia bacterium. Its description in RNAcentral is "tRNA-Ser". It matches the Rfam family "tRNA". Rfam says of the family: Transfer RNA (tRNA) molecules are approximately 80 nucleotides in length. The record is from RNAcentral. Lineage: Bacteria; Pseudomonadati; Planctomycetota; Planctomycetia.